GGUUCCAUAGUCUAGCGGUUAGCACAUCUGCUUUACACACAGAAGGUCCUGGGUUCGCGCCCCAGUGGAGCCA
RNAcentral lists this transfer RNA (73 nucleotides) under Pteropus alecto (black flying fox). It matches the Rfam family "tRNA". From Rfam's summary of the family: Transfer RNA (tRNA) molecules are approximately 80 nucleotides in length. Their secondary structure includes four short double-helical elements and three loops (D, anti-codon, and T loops). Lineage: Eukaryota; Metazoa; Chordata; Mammalia; Chiroptera; Pteropodidae. The record is from Rfam by way of RNAcentral.